GGGACUAAUAUUCUAAUGACUAAAUUGUCUUUGUAUGCGGUGGUCAAUAACCAUACUUUUGUUGGAAUAAAAAAAAGGCAUUUACUAUACCCACGUAAUAAAGUUAUAUAUAUAUAUAAUAAAUCUGACUGAUUCUACGAUAAGAAUAGCAUGGCAGCUCCUUUUGCACGGAUAUUUCGUUCAUUUCAUGGCAGAUAAAUUUUUGUUGAGAAAAUGAAGGGAUUUGGAUC
RNAcentral lists this unclassified non-coding RNA (230 nucleotides) under Hevea brasiliensis (rubber tree). The record is from RNAcentral. Lineage: Eukaryota; Viridiplantae; Streptophyta; Magnoliopsida; Malpighiales; Euphorbiaceae.